Molecule: long non-coding RNA, 249 nt
Organism: Biomphalaria glabrata
Lineage: Eukaryota; Metazoa; Mollusca; Gastropoda; Planorbidae
Exons: 3
Source: RefSeq, a predicted model, not a curated record
CAACACUGUGUGUCCUAAUUUUUUUUUCUCUUUGAAGUCAUCCGGAACAAUGUAUGAUGAAAAAAGGACUCAAGUCCUCAAGGGGAGUAACUCAACUUGCAUCACCACAUCUGUCACAUAAAACUCUGAGUGACGUCAUUGACCUCCACUAUGGAGACGAGCUCAAAGGCAACGCUUACAUUCAUCAAUUGGUUCUGAUCCAUCAGAGGUCGAAGCUGAGUGUUGUAGCUUCCACUCUCCAGUUUGCGG